This 253-nucleotide ribosomal RNA is filed under the name uncultured bacterium. RNAcentral describes it as "partial 16S ribosomal RNA". It matches the Rfam family "Bacterial small subunit ribosomal RNA", at positions 524 to 776 of the family's 1533-position model. The record is from RNAcentral.
UACAGAGGGGGCGAGCGUUGUUCGGAAUUACUGGGCGUAAAGGGUUCGUAGGUGGCCAACUAAGUCAGACGUGAAAUCCCUCAGCUUAACUGGGGAACUGCGUCUGAUACUGAUUGGCUUGAGUGCAGGAGAGGAACGCGGAAUUCCAGGUGUAGCGGUGAAAUGCGUAGAUAUCUGGAGGAACACCGGUGGCGAAGGCGGCGUUCUGGACUGCAACUGACACUGAGGAACGAAAGCCAGGGGAGCAAACGGG